RNAcentral lists this RNase P RNA (302 nucleotides) under Chloroflexota bacterium. RNAcentral describes it as "Chloroflexi bacterium (sediment metagenome) RNase P RNA component class A". It matches the Rfam family "Bacterial RNase P class A". Rfam says of the family: Ribonuclease P (RNase P) is a ubiquitous endoribonuclease, found in archaea, bacteria and eukarya as well as chloroplasts and mitochondria. Its best characterised activity is the generation of mature 5'-ends of tRNAs by cleaving the 5'-leader elements of precursor-tRNAs. The record is from RNAcentral. Lineage: Bacteria; Bacillati; Chloroflexota.
CAAGCAGGCUGGGCGGUCGCGCUACGCGCGAGGAAAGUCCGCACUCCACAGAGCAGGCUAGUGGGUAACACCCACCCGCCGUGAGGCGAGGCCUAGUGGCACAGAGACCAUGUCCAGGCCAGGCUCCUGGGGGAGCCGGCGCUGGAGUGAAAAGAGCCAAACGCUAGCCGGAGCAAGCCCAAGCCGGGGCGAUGACGCUGCUCGCCGAGCCCCAGGUCGGGCGCAAAGAGGCACGGGGCAACCCGCUGCCCAAGAGAGAUGACCGCCUAAAACAGAAUGCGGCUUACGGGCCUGCUUGGUCU